GGGAACGUACUAGUGAUUUCAUGACCUUUUCUGAUUUCCUAUCAGGUAGUCGACAGAACAGUGCGCAAUGCAUGACUGAUAACUGAAAGUGACCUUGGCCUUGCCUCCAGAAACAUUUGGUGAGCCCUUUCUAGGUGUCCAGAUCGGUUCUAGUUUCUGGAGAAACAGCAGGAAAUACGACAUCGCUCACAUCCUCAUGAGUCAGUACGCCAGUUCUGACCAACUAACGUAAUCCAGAAGAACGUGUAUCCCAUAAAGAGAGCAUCCUCGUGAGUUGAGUAUCAUUAUCAUAUCCAAUAUAGAGGGAAACUGUCUCACGUAACGGGAAUCAAGUUGGUGGCUCAUGGUCACGGAGCUGAGACGUAGCUGAACAGAUUUAAACAGAUGGAUGUGACCACCAUCUCGCCAGAGUCUCUAUGACGGGCAUCAUCACCAGCAGCAUCAGCAAAAUCUCUAAGCUACAGUCAGACAGUUUAUACUGGCAUAAAGAUAGAUACGUAGAUCGUCAUCUUCGCCAUCAAAAUGGAGAAUGGCUCCUCAGGGACCAGUAAGGAAAUGACAAACAACCCAACAGGAAAAUAAAUAAACACACAAACACA
Molecule: long non-coding RNA, 599 nt
Organism: Herpailurus yagouaroundi (jaguarundi)
Lineage: Eukaryota; Metazoa; Chordata; Mammalia; Carnivora; Felidae
Exons: 3
Source: RefSeq, a predicted model, not a curated record